AAUGGUUAAGGUAAGGUUUAAGGUUAGGGUUAGGUAAGGGUUAUGGUUAUGGUUAAGGCUAGGGGUUAGGGUUUAGGGUUUAGGUUUAGGAUAGGGAUGUCCCGAGGAUUCUGGUUAGCACUGACCAUUCUCAUUAGCCAGAUGUAGUUUGUUGUUAAUCUGUCAAGAAGUAACCCUUAACCAGGUUGCAACUAUGUUUUGUAUGUGUAUGUAAACCUUGUCUGUGCACAAUUGUCACCUUAGCUUUGAGCAGCCUGACGUUGUUUUGGAUUCUCUGCUUCCCUUUGAGGGCAUGCUUUUGUGAGCAUACUCAGCUCAGAGUUGGAUCUAAAGUGAAAUGUUUAAACCCCCAGCUCCUCCAGUCACUCACAAACAACAGGAGACCCAGAAGCAGCAGGAGACCAAAGAGGCCCAGAAAGAGACAGUAGAAAGGAAGACAGUAGUCGAAGCCCAUGUCUCGGAGCCAGCGACCCCUAUUGCUCCUGCCACCCCCAAAACGGAUCCCCAGAAGGAGACAUUAGAGAAGAAGACCGUAGUAGAAGCCUCUGCCUUUAAGCCUGCUGCUCCUGCCACCCCCAAACCGGAGCUCCAGAAGGAGGAGACCGUAGAAAAUAAGACUGUUGCAGACACUCAGGCCGUGAAGCCUCCUGCCGCCCCCAAACUGGAACCCGGGAAGGAGACAGUAGAGAUGAAGACAGUAGUAGGAGCCUCUGGUAGGAAAAUAUGAGCUGGCUGUUGUCUGUUGAGCUCCUACCUGUGCAUUGUCUGUCACAUCAUACUGUGUUUCUCAAUGUAGACUCAGAAAGCUUGGAUCUUUGCUCUUGAUUCAAGUUGUACUGUAUGUGGUGAACAGUGUAGAUAUAUUCUUUCUGAAGGCAAGUUGUGUCACAUAGUCUUUCUGUAGCCCUUCAGCUAGCUUCCCUUAUCUUGUGGCUUCGGCUGGUUUGUC
Molecule: long non-coding RNA, 949 nt
Organism: Oncorhynchus tshawytscha (Chinook salmon)
Lineage: Eukaryota; Metazoa; Chordata; Actinopteri; Salmoniformes; Salmonidae
Source: Ensembl